Molecule: long non-coding RNA, 895 nt
Filed under: Monodelphis domestica (gray short-tailed opossum)
Lineage: Eukaryota; Metazoa; Chordata; Mammalia; Didelphimorphia; Didelphidae
Description: lncRNA (ENSMODG00000039117.1)
Source: RNAcentral
AUAGAUUCUGUUAGAAAUAAGUCAGUUGAAUUUGAAAGACUGACUCAAGACACAGCUCAAGCAAUCUCCUAAACUACUAAGGCCAUCUCUUAUCUACAAGAAGAGACUAAUUCUUUAACAAAAUCAGUUUUGCAAAAUCAAUUGGCCCUUGACACACUCACAGCUACAAUGGGAUAUAAAUGCUUCUUUAUUAGUCAAUCUUCUUGUUCUUAUGUAAAUAAAUCUGAAGAAUGUUUGGCAAAUAUCCAUGAGAUUCAAAUGCUUUUAAAUGGCAUCCAGCAAGUGGCCUUAGAGACUCAUGUGAAUCCUAAUGAUAGCUACUGGAACCUCUCAUGGAUGCAGAUGACCAUCACUGCAGUUUCCAAAUCUUUGCCACCACAGAAGAGCAACUUGAUUCAAAUGAAUAUGCUAAGGAUCAGAGAAGCAAAUUAUGGCUAAUUACCUGAAGUCGCACAGCUAGUGAAUAGCAGAGCUGAGAAUUCACCUUGAUCUUUCAACUUCAAGAUUGGGACACUCCUGCUGCUCUAAACCAUGUUUCUUAAAGGAGGUAUGUUUUAUAUCUUUAAUAUUAUAAAAGAAGUUCUAAUGGAUGUCAAAAGAAGUGAUAAAUUAGUUUAAAGGGUGUUGCAGGCUACAGAUUCAGUACUUGGGACUUUCAAAAAAAGAUACAUUGUCAGUAUGGCCAGCUAAUAAUGAAGUUCUGCUCUUCUUCCCUCAGUGCCCAGAUUAGUCCCAAAACAUGGUUCAGUGAAUAUCAGCACAAGUUUUCUCUUCCCAGGGAAUUAACUCUUGGAGGAGAUAGGUUGAAUCCAAAUGUAAGAAAACUUAGGAAGUAAGGGGAAUAUAAAGAAGUUUUGAAAAUAAAACAGCUAGAAAACAGUGGGUAAGUUGAUAG